AGCACCCUUUGUUCCAAGUUUGAGAACCUUAAUAGCCACAGGUCCUUCCAUUUGAUUGAGUAAUCCUUUAUACACAGAACCAAAGCUGCCAGAACCAAUUAAGUUGUGGUCAGAGAAUCCACCUGUUGCAUCAUAAAGUUCCUUGUAAGAUACCUGAGCAGGGUGAUCCAUGUCUAUGGGUACUGCAGACAACUUCUUUUUUGAUACUCUCCGUCGAUAUGCAAGCACGGAGACUAACAUCAACAGGACACACAAAAUCACGCAUGGAAUUAUGAUUGCUAACUUAAUA
This 289-nucleotide unclassified non-coding RNA is filed under the name Hevea brasiliensis (rubber tree). The record is from RNAcentral. Lineage: Eukaryota; Viridiplantae; Streptophyta; Magnoliopsida; Malpighiales; Euphorbiaceae.